CUCCUGUGUGCCUCCUUUUAUUUUUUUUCUAAACAGGGCCUCACUAUGUUGCCCAGGCUGGCCUUGAACUCCUGGACUUAAGUGGUCCUCCUGCCUCUGCCUCUCGAGUAGCUGGGUCUACAGGCACACACCACCACAAACAGCUCUAUGUGCCUCUCUUCUCGAAUUGGGAAUGUCUAUAAUGGUUAUCUUAUGCUUCUCACACUGUUGUAUGUUGCAGGGUACAGAGAUACAGAGAUACAGAUAACUGCCUCUUUAGUUCACAUGUCUUCAGAUCAAGCAAAACUAUUCUCAAGAGCUGUACUUGAGGAGCCUUACCCUAGAAGCCUCAUCUGAACCUGAUUUAGAUGAUGAGAUUCUGGACUUUGAGCUUUAAUAAGAUGAGAAUUUUGGAGGCUGUGGGAGGAGGAUUACUUGCUCUGGAGGAAUUCAGCCACCAUAUUGUGAGGACACUCAAGCAGCCCUGUGGAUAAGCCACAUGGUGAGGAAGUGAGGCCUCCUGCUAACAGCCAGUCCCAAUUCCCCGUCUAUGUCAGUGACUCAUCCUGGAAUCAGAGCCUUUUGGCAGUGGAGCCUAUAAAUGGCUGCAGCUCUGAUCAAUAACUUGGCUACAAUCUCAUGAGAAACCUCAAAUCUGAGCCAUCCUGCUAAGUAAACCAUUCCAGAAUUACUGCCCCACAGACACUAUGUGAG
RNAcentral lists this long non-coding RNA (693 nucleotides) under Homo sapiens (human). Its description in RNAcentral is "HSALNT0176612". The record is from RNAcentral. Lineage: Eukaryota; Metazoa; Chordata; Mammalia; Primates; Hominidae.